This 501-nucleotide long non-coding RNA is filed under the name Mus pahari (shrew mouse). RNAcentral's name for it is "predicted gene 8066 (MGP_PahariEiJ_G0005369.1)". Lineage: Eukaryota; Metazoa; Chordata; Mammalia; Rodentia; Muridae. The record is from RNAcentral.
GGUGGCGGCGGCGGCGACGGUGGCGGCGGGCGGGGGCGCCGGGCUCGAGGCGGCGGCGGCGGCGUCGGGGAGCGGCGCGGGGCGGGGGUGGCGGCGUCGGCGGCGGCGAGCGCGGUCGGCGGCGGUGGCGGCCGCGGUGGCGGUGGCGUCGGAGGGGGCGGCCCCGCGUCCGGGUCACGUGGUACGAGGCGGGCAGCCAUCUUGCUACAAACACAAACAGAGAGGAGCGGCCGCCGCGGGAGCGCCAGCGCCCCCCCCACCCCGUGUCCCCUGCCGCCGCCGCCGCCGCCGCCGUCCCGGCCCUCCGCGCCACCCGCCCGUCACCGCCGCCGCCGCCGCGCCCGGGUCCUCAACGCCCCGGGGGACCGGGCCCCUCGCGCUCCCCGAUUCCUGGCAUCCUGCAGCGGAUGGGGACUGGAGAGGCACACUGGUCCAACCUCCUGCUCAGCCUGUGAUAAAAACCCACGUAUUCCCCCGGACACUGCCUGUCCUUCCUCCUCU